ACGCGUGGAACCUUACCAGGUCUUGACAUCCCAUUGACCGCUAUGGAGACAUAGCUUUCCCUUCGGGGACAGUGGUGACAGGUGGUGCAUGGUUGUCGUCAGCUCGUGUCGUGAGAUGUUGGGUUAAGUCCCGCAACGAGCGCAACCCUUGAUCUUAGUUGCCAGCAUUCAGUUGGGCACUCUAAGGUGACUGCCGGUGACAAACCGGAGGAAGGUGGGGAUGACGUCAAAUCAUCAUGCCCCUUAUGACCUGGGCUACACACGUGCUACAAUGGAUGGUACAAAGGGCUGCAAGACCGCGAGGUUUAGCCAAUCCCAUAAAACCAUUCUCAGUUCGGAUUGCAGGCUGCAACUCGCCUGCAUGAAGCUGGAAUCGCUAGUAAUCGCGGAUCAGCAUGCCGCGGUGAAUACGUUCCCGGGCCUUGCACUCACUGCCCGU
RNAcentral lists this ribosomal RNA (439 nucleotides) under uncultured bacterium. RNAcentral's name for it is "bacterial SSU rRNA". It matches the Rfam family "Bacterial small subunit ribosomal RNA", at positions 959 to 1397 of the family's 1533-position model. The record is from RNAcentral.